This 36-nucleotide ribosomal RNA is filed under the name Neurospora crassa. RNAcentral's name for it is "partial 19S ribosomal RNA". The record is from RNAcentral. Lineage: Eukaryota; Fungi; Ascomycota; Sordariomycetes; Sordariales; Sordariaceae.
CAUCAAUAAAAAUAGAUGAGUUUGGUGAUGGCUCUG